RNAcentral lists this ribosomal RNA (247 nucleotides) under uncultured Blautia sp. RNAcentral describes it as "partial 16S ribosomal RNA". It matches the Rfam family "Bacterial small subunit ribosomal RNA", at positions 92 to 339 of the family's 1533-position model. Lineage: Bacteria; Bacillati; Bacillota; Clostridia; Lachnospirales; Lachnospiraceae. The record is from RNAcentral.
CUAGUGGCGGACGGGUGAGUAACGCGUGGGUAACCUGCCUUAUACAGGGGGAUAACAGUCAGAAAUGGCUGCUAAUACCGCAUAAGCGCACAGGACCGCAUGGUUCGGUGUGAAAAACUCCGGUGGUAUAAGAUGGACCCGCGUUGGAUUAGCUAGUUGGCAGGGUAACGGCCUACCAAGGCGACGAUCCAUAGCCGGCCUGAGAGGGUGAACGGCCACAUUGGGACUGAGACACGGCCCAGACUCC